CGGGUGGUAAUGCCGGAUGCUCCAGUUGAUCGCAUGGUGUUCUGGGAAAGCCUUUGCGGCAUGGGAUGGGGUCGCGUCCUAUCAGCUUGAUGGCGGGGUAACGGCCCACCAUGGCUUCGACGGGUAGCCGGCCUGAGAGGGCGACCGGCCACAUUGGGACUGAGAUACGGCCCAGACUCCUACGGGAGGCAGCAGUGGGGAAUAUUGCACAAUGGGCGCAAGCCUGAUGCAGCGACGCCGCGUGAGGGAUGGAGGCCUUCGGGUUGUAAACCUCUUUUGUUAGGGAGCAAGGCAUUUUGUGUUGAGUGUACCUUUCGAAUAAGCACCGGCUAACUACGUGCCAGCAGCCGCGGUAAUACGUAGGGUGCAAGCGUUAUCCGGAAUUAUUGGGCGUAAAGGGCUCGUAGGCGGUUCGUCGCGUCCGGUGUGAAAGUCCAUCGCUUAACGGUGGAUUCGCGCCGGGUACGGGCGGGCUUGAGUGCGGUAGGGGAGACUGGAAUUCCCGGUGUAACGGUGGAAUGUGUAGAUAU
Molecule: ribosomal RNA, 530 nt
Filed under: Bifidobacterium breve
Lineage: Bacteria; Bacillati; Actinomycetota; Actinomycetes; Bifidobacteriales; Bifidobacteriaceae
Description: bacterial SSU rRNA
Rfam family: Bacterial small subunit ribosomal RNA
Source: RNAcentral